AAUAGAUACCCGGGUAGUCCACGCCCUAAACGAUGUCAACUAGUUGUCGGGUCUUAAUUGACUUGGUAACGCAGCUAACGCGUGAAGUUGACCGCCUGGGGAGUACGGUCGCAAGAUUAAAACUCAAAGGAAUUGACGGGGACCCGCACAAGCGGUGGAUGAUGUGGAUUAAUUCGAUGCAACGCGAAAAACCUUACCUACCCUUGACAUGGCAGGAAUCCUGAAGAGAUUUGGGAGUGCUCGAAAGAGAACCUGCACACAGGUGCUGCAUGGCUGUCGUCAGCUCGUGUCGUGAGAUGUUGGGUUAAGUCCCGCAACGAGCGCAACCCUUGUCAUUAGUUGCUACGAAAGGGCACUCUAAUGAGACUGCCGGUGACAAACCGGAGGAAGGUGGGGAUGACGUCAAGUCCUCAUGGCCCUUAUGGGUAGGGCUUCACACGUGCUACGAAUGGCCGGUACAGAGCGCUGCCAACUCGCGAGAGGGAGCCAAUCGCAUAAAACCGGUCUCAGUUCAGA
Molecule: ribosomal RNA, 516 nt
Filed under: uncultured bacterium
Lineage: Bacteria
Description: bacterial SSU rRNA
Rfam family: Bacterial small subunit ribosomal RNA
Source: RNAcentral